AUUAAGUUGUUGCGGUUAAAAGCUCGUAGUUGGAUUUCUGUUGAGGAAGUCCGGUCCGCACUUUGUGCGUGAUCUGGUUCUGCCUCGGCAUCCUCGCGGGGAACGCGCUGCGCUUGAUUGCGUGGUGCGGUAUUCGCGACUUUUACUUUGAGGAAAUUAGAGUGUUCACGGCAGGCAAUCGCCUUGAAUACGUUAGCAUGGAAUAAUAAUAUAGGACCUUGGUUCUAUUUUGUUGGUUUCUAGAACUAAGGUAAUGAUUAAUAGGGAUAAUUGGGGGCAUUUGUAUUAACACGUCAGAGGUGAAAUUCUUGUAUUGUGUUACGACAAACUACUGCGAAAGCAUUUGCCAAGGAUGUUUUCAUUGAUCAAGAACGAAAGUAAGGGGAUCGAAGACGAUUAGAUACCGUCGUAGUCUUUACCAUAAACUAUGCCAACUAGAGAUUGGAGGUCGUUCUUUUUAUGACUCCUUCAGCACCUUAUGAGAAAUCAAAGUCUUUGGGUUCCGGGGGGAGUAUGGUCGC
This 521-nucleotide ribosomal RNA is filed under the name uncultured Syndiniales. Its description in RNAcentral is "SSU rRNA". It matches the Rfam family "Eukaryotic small subunit ribosomal RNA", at positions 604 to 1132 of the family's 1831-position model. The record is from RNAcentral. Lineage: Eukaryota; Dinophyceae; Syndiniales.